RNAcentral lists this ribosomal RNA (639 nucleotides) under Triticum aestivum (bread wheat). RNAcentral's name for it is "partial small subunit ribosomal RNA". Lineage: Eukaryota; Viridiplantae; Streptophyta; Magnoliopsida; Poales; Poaceae. The record is from RNAcentral.
AUGGGAGCGGCAAAGCUCACGGGCGGCCUGUGCGGCGCGCGCGCGCCUGGUCCCCGGCCACGCUCGCUCUGCCAUAAGGAUCCCACCCCGCGCACACUGGCAUGGCAUACUGCAGCGCUCUGCAUCCCGAUCCAGACACAGACACACAGACACAGAGCUUUUGGCUGCUCCUGCUCGGCUGCUCCCAUGGGGCUCUGCCUGUCCGUGGCCCUGUGGAAGGACAAGGCCUACGCCCGCCGCCGGGCCGUGCGGCGAGGCCAGCAGGAGGCCGUCGACGUCGAUGUGAUGGUGCGUGGCGGCGGCGGCAGCAGCUCUGUCUACGGGCUUCUGGCAGGUGGAGUGCCGGAGGCGGAGGAACCCGUGGCCGUGGCGGCGCCGAGGGCUUCGGGCGCGCUGGGCACGCCGGGGCGGCCGAUAUGGCAGAGGAGGGUGCUGAUGGGCGUCAAGUGCCGGCUGCCGAAGUUCAGCGGCAUGAUCCUGUACGACGAGCGCGGCCGGCCGGUGGGCGGCGGCGUCCGGGACAGAGCUCGUGACCAGGAGAAGCACGCCGCUGCCAUUGAUAACAUCCUGAGGGACCUGCACUGGUCCAGCCGGUCGCCGGCGGGCAGCUUAAUUCCAGCGUCGGCCCGGUCCAGUUGA